ACGACAGACAGAGCCUGUAACUCCAUUGUUCACACCCCAACAACAGUAAACAAAUCCAAGACAACCAGUAACACAACUAUGCAGGUGCUAAAGGUUCUCUUUGACAGAGUGCAUACCAGCUGUACUCAUUAACAAUACAGAUAUUCAGACAAGAUUUGGUAGAUGAAUGGGUUCAAGUUCUUACACUACUAAACUCUCUCUGCUCAGCGAUAAAGGUCAUGCUAAGUGAAAAAGGAAGAAAGGAUCAAACAAAGGAAACAAAGAGGGAACCCUUAACAGUAGUGUGAUACAAAUCAACCUUCUACAUCUUCCACUCAAAUAUGUGUCGAUGGGGUUGUAGCACUGCGGACACAACCUACAUGUGCAAAUGGUGUGGAACUCGUUACUGUAAAGAAUGUGGUAGAGGAGAUUUUAUCGGCCUUAUGUAUGCUCCAGACUGGUGCAGAAAAUGUUUCCAG
Molecule: long non-coding RNA, 458 nt
Organism: Protopterus annectens (West African lungfish)
Lineage: Eukaryota; Metazoa; Chordata; Ceratodontiformes; Protopteridae
Exons: 2
Source: RefSeq, a predicted model, not a curated record